Molecule: small RNA, 167 nt
Filed under: uncultured Duncaniella sp.
Lineage: Bacteria; Pseudomonadati; Bacteroidota; Bacteroidia; Bacteroidales; Muribaculaceae
Description: Bacteroidales-1 6S-Bacteroidales RNA suggested
Rfam family: Bacteroidales-1 6S-Bacteroidales RNA suggested
Source: RNAcentral
GUUGAUUGGGAAACUCAUCAAAUUUUUAUGAAAUACCGAGACAAGCUUAGCCGCCCAAUGGCGGGCCUCAUCCCCCUCGGGGGAGGCUGCUACAGCCCGGAGGAUUACAAAGGACGGCGAGCACUCAAAUCCUGUCAUUCGGAGUUUCAUCACAUCCUUUGGUGUGG